Molecule: unclassified non-coding RNA, 205 nt
Filed under: Hevea brasiliensis (rubber tree)
Lineage: Eukaryota; Viridiplantae; Streptophyta; Magnoliopsida; Malpighiales; Euphorbiaceae
Source: RNAcentral
GUCUUGUUCGCCCGGUCGUAUUGAUAGACGCGACCGACAGGAAUGGUGUUGCCAGAGAUGGAGAUCGGUACGCCGAUGAUGCCGCCGGUAUCGAAGUCCUUGAUAGAGUUCAACGAGGCCUUCAUGUUGGUCGCGGUGAGAUCCUUCUUGGCAUCGAGUGUACGUUUUGCCGCUUCGAUCAUCAGCAUCGCGGUGAGGAAGCCCU